RNAcentral lists this ribosomal RNA (872 nucleotides) under uncultured Capnocytophaga sp. Its description in RNAcentral is "bacterial SSU rRNA". It matches the Rfam family "Bacterial small subunit ribosomal RNA". Lineage: Bacteria; Pseudomonadati; Bacteroidota; Flavobacteriia; Flavobacteriales; Flavobacteriaceae. The record is from RNAcentral.
GAUGAACGCUAGCGGCAGGCUAACACAUGCAAGUCGAGGGAGAGGUUAUCUUCGGGUAACCAAAACCGGCGCACGGGUGCGUAACGCGUAUACAAUCUGCCUUUCACAUAGGGGAUAGCCCGAAGAAAUUUGGAUUAAUACCUAAUGGUAUAUAAGAGCGGCAUCGUUUUUAUAUUAAAGCUACGGUGGUGAAAGAUGAGUAUGCGUUCUAUUAGCUAGUUGGAGAGGUAACGGCUCCCCAAGGCGACGAUAGAUAGGGGUUCUGAGAGGGAUGUCCCCCACACUGGUACUGAGAUACGGACCAGACUCCUACGGGAGGCAGCAGUGAGGAAUAUUGGACAAUGGUCGGAAGACUGAUCCAGCCAUGCCGCGUGCAGGAUGAAGGUCCUAUGGAUUGUAAACUGCUUUUGUAAGGGAAGAAUAAGGAGUACGUGUACUUUGAUGACGGUACCUUACGAAUAAGCAUCGGCUAACUCCGUGCCAGCAGCCGCGGUAAUACGGGAGGAUGCGAGCGUUAUCCGGAAUCAUUGGGUUUAAAGGGUCCGUAGGCGGGCUGAUAAGUCAGAGGUGAAAGCGCUUAGCUCAACUAAGCAACUGCCUUUGAAACUGUCAGUCUUGAAUGAUUGUGAAGUAGUUGGAAUGUGUAGUGUAGCGUGAAAUGCUUAGAUAUUACGCGGAACACCGAUAGCGAGCAUAUUACUUACUUUUAUUGACGCUGAUGGACGAAAGCGUGGGGAGCGAACAGGAUAGAUACCCUGGUAGUCCAGGGCGAAUUCCACAGUGGAUAUCAGCUGAGCGGCGCGGCGGCUCCAGCGCGCCCGAUACUGAGUUUUUGUGCCUUAGUAGAGCGUCAUCUCACACAAGAAAGAGGG